This 465-nucleotide ribosomal RNA is filed under the name Vreelandella stevensii. RNAcentral's name for it is "partial 16S ribosomal RNA". It matches the Rfam family "Bacterial small subunit ribosomal RNA", at positions 338 to 795 of the family's 1533-position model. Lineage: Bacteria; Pseudomonadati; Pseudomonadota; Gammaproteobacteria; Oceanospirillales; Halomonadaceae. The record is from RNAcentral.
CCUACGGGUGGCAGCAGUGGGGAAUAUUGGACAAUGGGCGAAAGCCUGAUCCAGCCAUGCCGCGUGUGUGAAGAAGGCCUUCGGGUUGUAAAGCACUUUCAGUGGGGAAGAAAGCCUUGGGGCUAAUACCCUCGAGGAAGGACAUCACCCACAGAAGAAGCACCGGCUAACUCCGUGCCAGCAGCCGCGGUAAUACGGAGGGUGCGAGCGUUAAUCGGAAUUACUGGGCGUAAAGCGCGCGUAGGCGGUCUGAUAAGCCGGUUGUGAAAGCCCCGGGCUCAACCUGGGAACGGCAUCCGGAACUGUCAGGCUAGAGUGCAGGAGAGGAAGGUAGAAUUCCCCGUGUAGCGGUGAAAUGCGUAGAGAUCGGGAGGAUUACCAGUGGCGAAGGCGGCCUUCUGGACUGACACUGACGCUGAGGUGCGAAAGCGUGGGUAGCAAACAGGAUUAGAUACCCGAGUAGUC